This 253-nucleotide ribosomal RNA is filed under the name uncultured bacterium. Its description in RNAcentral is "partial 16S ribosomal RNA". It matches the Rfam family "Bacterial small subunit ribosomal RNA", at positions 524 to 776 of the family's 1533-position model. The record is from RNAcentral.
UACGGAGGGUGCGAGCGUUAUCCGGAUUCACUGGGUUUAAAGGGUGCGUAGGUGGGAAUGUAAGUCAGUGGUGAAAUCUCUGAGCUUAACUCAGAAACUGCCAUUGAUACUAUGUUUCUUGAAUUUUCUGGAGGUCAGCGGAAUAUGUCAUGUAGCGGUGAAAUGCUUAGAUAUGACAUAGAACACCAAUUGCGAAGGCAGCUGGCUACAGGGAUAUUGACACUGAGGCACGAAAGCGUGGGGAGCGAGCAGG